This 503-nucleotide ribosomal RNA is filed under the name uncultured bacterium. RNAcentral's name for it is "bacterial SSU rRNA". It matches the Rfam family "Bacterial small subunit ribosomal RNA", at positions 28 to 346 of the family's 1533-position model. The record is from RNAcentral.
GACGAACGCUGGCGGCGUGCCUAACACAUGCAAGUCGAGCGGACUUAUGCAAAGCACUAAUAGCUCACAAACUGACAGUUACUCGGGAGCCAUCCUAUGAAAUCGCGUAGCGAUUUCAUUACGCCCCUCCAAGUGACUAACAGUCAGUUGGAGGGGUAACCCAAGUGACUAACAGUCAGUUGAUGGGGUUAACCCAAGUGACAAUGGAGAGAUACACUUAAGGUGAGGUAUUAGUGCUUUGCAGAAAGUUAGCGGCGGACGGGUGAGUAACGCGUGAGUAACCUGCCUUUCAGUGGGGAAUAACGUUCCGAAAGGAACGCUAAUACCGCAUAACGUAGUAUUUGCGGCAUCGUAGAUAUACCAAAGAUUUAUUGCUGAGAGAUGGACUCGCGUCUGAUUAGCUAGUUGGUAGGGUAACGGCCUACCAAGGCGACGAUCAGUAGCCGAACUGAGAGGUUGAUCGGCCACAUUGGGACUGAGACACGGCCCAGACUCCUACGGGA